UAGGAGAGAGAUGGAGGGAAGUUCCACAAUGACUGCAGAGUCUAGAAAAUGAUCCUCCUGUAAAGGAGUAAGAGGAAGUGGGGCUCCAAGAAAGAGAAUGUGUGCCUCUAGAGCUUACGUCUUAGCUGUGACCACACCUGCAUGAGACAUCUUUGUAUCCUCCAUAGCACCUUGCACGUGUCUUCUGAAUUCUAUUAGAUGUGGAAGAAAAUAUUUAUUUUUGUGUAUAUGCUUGGAUGAUUUGGAGGUACGAGAAGUAAACAGCAUACAAAGCUGCAUCCAGCUAGAUUUAAAAAAUGAAGUCAUCAUUAGGAUAUUCACUGAGCACUGAUGCAUACUAUGCCAGACACUGUGGCUACAACACUGAAUAAGUCCUAGGUGUUAAAUUAAGAAAGUUCUGCGAGAAAUUGGCUUCCUGGUGUGAAAUGCAAGAGUUGAAGAUCAAAGAUACUUGUGAAAUCUAGACCUUAUUUUAUUCAUGGAUUCCUAAUGAAUAAAUAAAGCAAGCACAACUAUUUACUUAAACAAUCUGAGACCUAGCUUGACUGUUUAAUGUAUAAACAGAAGGUUGAUUGUCCUUUCUUGAGAUGCAGCAACAUUUUGGGAAAAGCCACAAAGUGCACUGUCAAAAGCUGCAUGUGAAAACACAUGGAUUA
Molecule: long non-coding RNA, 656 nt
Filed under: Equus asinus (donkey)
Lineage: Eukaryota; Metazoa; Chordata; Mammalia; Perissodactyla; Equidae
Description: lncRNA (ENSEASG00005024925.1)
Source: RNAcentral